GUACGGGAGGCAGCAGUCGCGAAAACUUUGCAAUAAGCGAAAGCUUGACAGGGCUAUCCCGAGUGCCAUCCGCUGAGGAAGGCUUUUACCCAGUCUAGAACGCUGGGGGAAUAAGGAGAGGGCAAGUCUGGUGUCAGCCGCCGCGGUAAUACCAGCUCUUCGAGUGGUGUGGACGUUUAUUGGGCCUAAAGCAUCCGUAGCUGGCUAAGUUAGUCCCUUGUUAAAUCCACCGAAUUAAUCGUUGGAUUGCGAGGGAUACUGCUUGGCUAGGGGACGAGAGAGGCAGACGGUAUUUUCGGGGUAGGGGUGAAAUCCUAUAAUCCCGGGAAGACCACCAGUGGCGAAGGCUGUCUGCUAGAACGCGCCCGACGGUGAGGGAUGAAAGCUGGGGGAGCGAACCGGAUUAGAUACCCCGGUAGUCCG
Molecule: ribosomal RNA, 423 nt
Filed under: uncultured bacterium
Lineage: Bacteria
Description: bacterial SSU rRNA
Rfam family: Archaeal small subunit ribosomal RNA
Source: RNAcentral